CAAGGCAUUUGUCAGAAAUCAUCAGUUAUUUCCAAUUUGUUUGUUCGGCACUCCCGGUUGGUCUCAUACAGUAUUAGAAAUGGCAGCAAUCAGCCUGUUCAACACAGUGCUCUAUCUAGCCAUCGCCCUACACAAAGAAAAUGAUGGCACAAAUUCCGUAGUCCUGCGGAGCCUAGCAGCACCAGAAAGUAGAUUCACCUACCACUAUCGGCACUCCCAGUCAGAAGAGGUGAUAUUCACGAGUACCACUGGCAGCAAACAAGACCUGACAGUACAGUGCAACAAGCUCUCAACAAUGGCCAGGGAUGCCGUUGAGCACCAAGAGAACAUAUUCCACCUCAGAGAUCACCCGGACCCCCAGCUGGAGGGGCAUCAGAAAGUCAUGCUUGUGCACAAGCGCACACAGCUAGUGCUGGUGGCAGAUCCAAGCAGCGAGGAGGCGUCCAGAAUACACCUGGUGCCAUUGCCAGUGGUUCAAGCAUCCACACUGCUGCAAAGGUAUGCCCUAUUCAAAACA
Molecule: long non-coding RNA, 517 nt
Organism: Sycon ciliatum
Lineage: Eukaryota; Metazoa; Porifera; Calcarea; Leucosolenida; Sycettidae
Exons: 2
Source: RefSeq, a predicted model, not a curated record